GGGGAAUAUUGGACAAUGGGGGGAACCCUGAUCCAGCCAUGCCGCGUGUGUGAAGAAGGCCUUAUGGUUGUAAAGCACUUUAAGCGAGGAGGAGGCUCUUUUGGUUAAUACCCAGGAUGAGUGGACGUUACUCGCAGAAUAAGCACCGGCUAACUCUGUGCCAGCAGCCGCGGUAAUACAGAGGGUGCGAGCGUUAAUCGGAUUUACUGGGCGUAAAGCGUACGUAGGCGGCUUUUUAAGUCGGAUGUGAAAUCCCCGAGCUUAACUUGGGAAUUGCAUUCGAUACUGGGAAGCUAGAGUAUGGGAGAGGAUGGUAGAAUUCCAGGUGUAGCGGUGAAAUGCGUAGAGAUCUGGAGGAAUACCGAUGGCGAAGGCAGCCAUCUGGCCUAAUACUGACGCUGAGGUACGAAAGCAUGGGGAGCAAAC
This 426-nucleotide ribosomal RNA is filed under the name uncultured bacterium. RNAcentral describes it as "bacterial SSU rRNA". It matches the Rfam family "Bacterial small subunit ribosomal RNA", at positions 356 to 773 of the family's 1533-position model. The record is from RNAcentral.